This 441-nucleotide ribosomal RNA is filed under the name uncultured bacterium. RNAcentral describes it as "partial 16S ribosomal RNA". It matches the Rfam family "Bacterial small subunit ribosomal RNA", at positions 338 to 795 of the family's 1533-position model. The record is from RNAcentral.
CCUACGGGUGGCAGCAGUGGGGAAUAUUGCACAAUGGGGGAAACCCUGAUGCAGCAACGCCGCGUGAAGGAAGACGGUUUUCGGAUUGUAAACCUCUGUUCGUAGGGAAGAAAAAGGAGGGUAGCGAAGGAGCAAGCCACGGCUAAAUACGUGCCAGCAGCCGCGGUAAUAGGUAGGUGCCACGCGUUUUCCGGAAUUACUGGGUGUAAAGGGAGCGCAGGCGGGAAGCCAAGUCAGCUGUGAAAGCUUCGGGCUUAACUUCGAGACUGCAGUUGAAACUGGUUGUCUUGAGUGAAGUAGAGGUUGGCGGAAUGUCGGGUGUAGCGGUGAAAUGCGUAGAUAUUCGGAGGAACACCGGUGGCGAAGGCGGCCAACUGGGCUUCAACUGACGUUGAGGCUCGAAAGUGUGGGGAGCAAACAGGAUUAGAUACCCGGGUAGUC